RNAcentral lists this ribosomal RNA (115 nucleotides) under Rhizobium mesosinicum. RNAcentral also lists the same sequence under 10 other names. The record is from RNAcentral. Lineage: Bacteria; Pseudomonadati; Pseudomonadota; Alphaproteobacteria; Hyphomicrobiales; Rhizobiaceae.
CCUGGUGGUCAUGGCGGGGUGGCUGCACCCGUUCCCUUUCCGAACACGGCCGUGAAACGCCCCAGCGCCUAUGGUACUUCGUCUUAAGACGCGGGAGAGUCGGUCGCUGCCAGGU